Molecule: ribosomal RNA, 372 nt
Filed under: uncultured organism
Description: bacterial SSU rRNA
Rfam family: Bacterial small subunit ribosomal RNA
Source: RNAcentral
CGUAGGGUGCGAGCGUUAAUCGGAAUUACUGGGCGUAAAGCGUGCGCAGGCGGUUUUGUAAGCCAGAUGUGAAAUCCCCGGGCUUAACCUGGGAAUGGCAUUUGGGACUGCAAGGCUGGAGUUUGGCAGAGGAGACUGGAAUUCCCGGGUGUAGCAGUGAAAUGCGUAGAUAUCGGGAGGAAUACCGAUGGCGAAGGCAGGUCUCUGGGCUAUAACUGACGCUCAUGCACGAAAGCGUGGGGAGCAAACAGGAUUAGAUACCCUGGUAGUCCACGCCCUAAACGAUGUCGACUGGUUGUUGGGGGUUUGACACUCUCAGUAACGAAGCUAACGCGUGAAGUCGACCGCCUGGGGAGUACGGCCGCAAGGUUA